UACGUAGGGUGCAAGCGUUAAUCGGAAUUACUGGGCGUAAAGCGUGCGCAGGCGGUUUUUUAAGUCUGUUGUGAAAUCCCCGGGCUUAACCUGGGAAUGGCAAUGGAGACUGCAAGGCUAGAGUUUGGCAGAGGGGGGUAGAAUUCCACGUGUAGCAGUGAAAUGCGUAGAGAUGUGGAGGAACACCGAUGGCGAAGGCAGCCCCCUGGGUCAAGACUGACGCUCAUGCACGAAAGCGUGGGGAGCAAACAGG
This 253-nucleotide ribosomal RNA is filed under the name uncultured bacterium. RNAcentral's name for it is "partial 16S ribosomal RNA". It matches the Rfam family "Bacterial small subunit ribosomal RNA", at positions 524 to 776 of the family's 1533-position model. The record is from RNAcentral.